Ictalurus punctatus (channel catfish) is the source of this 1672-nucleotide long non-coding RNA. Lineage: Eukaryota; Metazoa; Chordata; Actinopteri; Siluriformes; Ictaluridae. The record is from Ensembl.
CAGAAUUUGCGCAUUUGAAGGGAUUUCACAGGUCACAACAUAUUUAUCCAGCUUUGAAAGAUCAGAUCUUUUCAUUCAGGACCGACGUUAUCUCCUUAAACCGUCACUCCGAUGACAUGUAUGGGUACUGAGAAUGUUCUGUUAAAUAUUGCGAUAUAUCACAGAUUAUCAGCACAUGCCUACUUCACACAGAAUGGUAAAGCCAUUUAGGACUGAUGCUGCAACUGAAAGCUAGGAUUGAAGGACAGAUGGUACAAAAUUUUGACGCUGGACAAGCUCUAACAUCGUCCUGAUGAUCCUACUCUUUCAGUAGCUGUCCAUCCUUAAACAUACUGUCCCCUCUGAAAGUACUACUACUGUCCCCUACUGUAACUGCAAGGUCAACUCUUGGUUGUUAGUACUUGUCUGGUUGAUGAUACACCAGUGGUUUCAUCCUUUUUCAGGACAAUCCAAAUUGUUGUAUUGGCUAUGCCCAAUGUUUGUGCAAUGCCUCUGAUUGAUCUUCCUUUCUUUUUUCAGCUUCAAAAUGGCUUGCUUUCUCCCAUAGACAGCUCUCUGGUCUUCAUGUUGGUUUAUCCUUUUUAACGACAAAUGCAGUCUUCACAGGCAAAACCUUGGGCUCAAACCUAGACUAGACAUUCAGAGCUAUUCGUUCUUUAAACAGUCAAUCUAACGGGGCACACCUGGGCAACAAGAAACACCUGUCAGUCACAUAUUCCAGUAUUUUUUGGUGGGUUCAAACUAAAGGAGCCAUGUUCUAAGUUGUUUAAUACAUCUAGAUGUAAAUAUGAGGAAAUGAAAGCUGAAAUUCUGAUCUGUCGUCUUAUAUUCAUCUUUUGAUCUCAAACACAAAUUUAUUCAGUGUAUAGGGGGGGAACCCCAAAGUUUUGGCCUUGCCGUUCCAGUACGUUCAGAGCGGACUGUAAAGUCACUUCAAAUUUGUAAUACCAUUCUGGGUCCUGGGUCAGAUUGCCAUUGGCUCGGUUUCCUCAGGGCUUCUCUGCUCUGCUGCUCAUCACACUGCUGCUCCCCAUCACUCACCUUCUGCAUGACUGAUUCUGGUCCUCACACUGUACUCUACCGGUACAUGCUUUUCACUAAGAGCGGGGCAAUGAUGUGGAUUAGAAAUGAACUCCUAGUUCUCGAAAUAAAGAUUUUAUUCACUUUAUUCCAUAUAGACAUUUUUUUAACCGAUGAACAUUGAUAUUUGUACAAAAAAAUAAUAAUAAUAACAAUAAAAUAUGGGGUUAUUAAAAAAAGAGAGAGAAAUAUAUAGUUUAAAGAUAUUUAACAAAGGAUAAAUAUAUUCUAGAUAUGGAGCUCAAGAUGUUGUGUAUAGAGAAGGUGGAACAUGAGGAAGGUCUGUGGUCCAAGCUGCUUCUUCAAGCCUGGAUGGUUCCAAGUUUAAAGAAAAACAGCUCCACCCCCUUAGGAUACGAGGGAAGGACACAAGAAUGAGAUGCGGGGAGAGAGGUAUCGGAGCAAGUCCAGUGAAAUAUCCUCGCUCUCUCAAGCGUCACUUCACACCGACGUCAAUUAAUGAUGACUGUACUCAGUUGGAUGACCUCACUGCGCUUCAGGGAUCCGCCGUUAUGCUGUUGGAGCUCGGUGAAUGACAUUCUUAAUAAAGCUAAAUGCACUGAUAGUAUGUGAAAUGUCUGGGUUAUUCAAC